RNAcentral lists this ribosomal RNA (464 nucleotides) under uncultured bacterium. RNAcentral's name for it is "partial 16S ribosomal RNA". It matches the Rfam family "Bacterial small subunit ribosomal RNA", at positions 338 to 795 of the family's 1533-position model. The record is from RNAcentral.
GCUACGGGAGGCUGCAGUAGGGAAUUUUCGGCAAUGGGGGGAACCCUGACCGAGCAACGCCGCGUGAAGGAAGAAGGAAUUCGUUCUGUAAACUUCUGUUAUAAAGGAAGAAAGACGGAUGGAGGAAAUGACAUCCGAGUGACGGUACUUUAUGAGAAAGCCACGGCUAACUACGUGCCAGCAGCCGCGGUAAUACGUAGGUGGCAAGUGUUAUCCGGAUUUAUUGGGAGGAAAGAGGUAGCAGGCGGCAGCUAAGGUCUGUGGUGAAAGACUGAAGCUUAACUUCAGGAAGCCAUAGAAACCGGGUAGCUAGAGUGCAGGAGAGGAACGUGGAAUGCGAGGUGUAGCGGUGAAAUGCGUAGAUAUAUGGAGGAACACCAGUGGCGAAGGCGACGAUCUGGCCUGCAACUGACGCUCAGUCCCGAAAGCGUGGGGAGCGAAUAGGAUUAGAUACCCCUGUAGUC